CAUAUCACAUUGAAACACCUGUUCCCAUACAAUCAAUGAAGUUAAGCAACGUUGAGCAUGGCCAGUACCUAGAUGGGUGACUGCUUGGAAAUACUAGGUGCCAU
Molecule: non-coding RNA, 104 nt
Organism: Acanthosepion pharaonis
Lineage: Eukaryota; Metazoa; Mollusca; Cephalopoda; Sepiida; Sepiidae
Source: the annotation of a GenBank genome assembly